CAAAAUCAUCAAUAGGGUGGCAGGAUGAGAGUACACCGACAAAAUCCAUCAGCAUUGCCAUUGUCACACCAAUCAUCUUGUCAAGGGGUUAGGGAUGCCAUGAACCACAUCAAGAAAGCUAUCUCCAUAGCUCGUGCCAAUAAAAUGUAAUAUGGUACAAUUGAUGGGUCAUCCUACUUAAUUUUAUGCAAUUCUGCUAGCCCUACAAGGCUAAUCCCAAAGACUAAACACUCAAGGACAUUGAUCUCUCUUCCACUUGAGCUAGCCACAUUCUUCAAAAUCAAGCUGCACCAAUUGAUUUUUCCAUGAAAUGAAG
This is a long non-coding RNA of Populus euphratica (Euphrates poplar), 316 nucleotides long. RefSeq lists it as uncharacterized. NCBI's taxonomy places the organism in Eukaryota, Viridiplantae, Streptophyta, Magnoliopsida, Malpighiales, Salicaceae. The transcript has 3 exons. The record is from RefSeq and is a predicted model, not a curated record.